This 253-nucleotide ribosomal RNA is filed under the name uncultured bacterium. RNAcentral's name for it is "partial 16S ribosomal RNA". It matches the Rfam family "Bacterial small subunit ribosomal RNA", at positions 524 to 776 of the family's 1533-position model. The record is from RNAcentral.
UACAGAGGUCUCAAGCGUUGUUCGGAUUCAUUGGGCGUAAAGGGUGCGUAGGCGGGUCUUUAAGUCAGGGGUGAAAUCCUGGAGCUCAACUCCAGAACUGCCUUUGAUACUGAGGAUCUUGAGUCCGGGAGAGGUGAGUGGAACUGCGAGUGUAGAGGUGAAAUUCGUAGAUAUUCGCAAGAACACCAGUGGCGAAGGCGGCUCACUGGCCCGGUACUGACGCUGAGGCACGAAAGCGUGGGGAGCAAACAGG